RNAcentral lists this ribosomal RNA (460 nucleotides) under uncultured bacterium. RNAcentral's name for it is "partial 16S ribosomal RNA". It matches the Rfam family "Bacterial small subunit ribosomal RNA", at positions 338 to 795 of the family's 1533-position model. The record is from RNAcentral.
CCUACGGGUGGCAGCAGUGAGGAAUAUUGGUCAAUGGACGAGAGUCUGAACCAGCCAAGUAGCGUGAAGGAUGACUGCCCUAUGGGUUGUAAACUUCUUUUAUAUGGGAAUAAAAUGUUCCACGUGUGGGAUUUUGUAUGUACAAUAUGAAUAAGGAUCGGCUAACUCCGUGCCAGCAGCAGCGGUAAUACGGAGGAUCCGAGCGUUAUCCGGAUUUAUUGGGGUUAAAGGGAGCGUAGGUGGAUUGUUAAGUCAGUUGUGAAAGUUUGCGGCUCAACCGUAAAAUUGCAGUUGAAACUGGCAGUCUUGAGUACAGUAGAGGUGUGCGGAAUUCGUGGUGUAGCGGUGAAAUGCUUAGAUAUCACGAAGAACUCCGAUUGCGAAGGCAGUUCACUGGACUGCAACUGACACUGAGGCUCGAAAGUGUGGGUAUCAAACAGGAUUAGAUACCCUUGUAGUC